Long non-coding RNA from Pyrus x bretschneideri (Chinese white pear), 554 nucleotides. RefSeq lists it as uncharacterized. The record is from RefSeq and is a predicted model, not a curated record. The transcript is spliced from 3 exons. Lineage: Eukaryota; Viridiplantae; Streptophyta; Magnoliopsida; Rosales; Rosaceae.
CUGUCUCUCUUCCCUAUCUUUCUCUCUCACUCAGUCUCUCUCAUCUCUUCCCUCUAGCUUAUCUUGCCUAUCUCUCACUCAGUCUCGCGUAGCCUUCCUCUCGACUGGACCCAGGCAGCCUUCUCCUCAUCCUUCCUUCCUCCCGACUGCACCCAGCCAGGAUGGCUCUGUAGAUCCUGAUUCUUUGAGCACUAGCAUUAGCACUGAUAUAGAACCUCUUCCAGGCCUUGCAUCCAUACUUGAAGAGCUAGUACAGGAAGAUGGGUUUGCUCUUUUCGGACUUUGCAGAUAAGCUGUUUGAGCCUCGACCGCCUUUGGAUUUCAAACCACCUUCGGAGAAGAAAAAGUGCCCACCUUUGACAGGUACAGCCAUGAAAAUAAGUGGUUAGCAUUGGACAGAGAUCAAUAAUUGAUUUAUUAAGUACUAGAACACAACUCCUAAGUUGACGUUACAUUUGUAUACUCUGUAUACAGAGAUUAAUAUUUGAUUUAUGCAGUAGUAGUACAUGACUCUUAAAUUGAAGUUGCAGUUGUAUACUCUGUAUACCUUUUUU